Molecule: long non-coding RNA, 984 nt
Organism: Oxyura jamaicensis (ruddy duck)
Lineage: Eukaryota; Metazoa; Chordata; Aves; Anseriformes; Anatidae
Exons: 3
Source: RefSeq, a predicted model, not a curated record
UCUCAUUAUUGCGUCUUAUUAUUUUUUUCCCUUAUAUCCAGCCUGAAAAGGGCUUGGCAUUUAUCUGCGUGCAGGCACCUGAUCGGACUGGACUGGCGCAGACCAUCUGGGGACGGGCUCUGGGCACCAGCGCUGCAGACAAGAAGCUCCUCCAAUUAACUUUUCAGGCUGAAAAUCCGGUGAUUUGCAGAUCCAGAACAGUUUGUCUCUUUGAUGGCACUGUCAGCUCAGACACCCCCGCACUGUGACACCGAGGGGCUGGCAGCCACUCUGGAAGGGUGCACGGACAGGACCUGACCCCUGCAGAUGCUUCCUGGCUCUUCUGGCCUUCCUUCUCACCAGGUCUUCGCUGAGACGGGUGGUCAAAUGGGCCAAGUCUCCUUGCUGAGCACCUACACGAGCGAAAGGAAACAGAGACGCAGAGCGAUCGAUGUGGUGCCUCCUAGACAAGCGGCUGCAGAGCAUCCUGUGCCGGGGGGAAGGAGGAUGUUGCUGCUGCAGGGCGAUGAGCCCUGGCAGAGACCCUGAAGUCACCUCCCGCCGCGGGAUGUGUGGUCUGCUCUGCAUCAUUCCUGGAGGUUCAUAAGUCCUUCGGGAGCACACAUAGCUCAGUUGAGGCAGAACAGAGCCACGGUCACUCGUGGAGCCGCCGGGGGCUCCCAAAGCCCCGCAUCUCCCCCGUGCACAACCGGAUCCAGGUGUCGAGAGGGAAGGUGGUGCGCCUGGCUUCCAGGCAGCGAAACUCCCUGUGGGCUGCAGGGUGAGGCCGGUUUCUGGGUCUGGGAUGUGCUGGAGCAAAGCCGAGCUCGCCGCACGCUGCAGCAGGCUAUCCAUCCCAUCGUCUCCCCCCCCCCCCCCCCCAAAAAACAACCUUUGGUCUGGGAUGCGUGGGACGCCCGCCUCCCCACGGGGCGCAGAAAAGGAAGAUAAGCCAGUGCUUCAAAGGCAACGCUGGUUCUGCAGGUACAGGGGGAGAGAAAGUCC